RNAcentral lists this ribosomal RNA (510 nucleotides) under uncultured bacterium. Its description in RNAcentral is "partial 16S ribosomal RNA". It matches the Rfam family "Bacterial small subunit ribosomal RNA", at positions 28 to 507 of the family's 1533-position model. The record is from RNAcentral.
GACGAACGCUGGCGGCGUGCUUAACACAUGCAAGUCGAACGAAGAGCGAUGGAAGCUUGCUUCUAUCAAUCUUAGUGGCGAACGGGUGAGUAACGCGUAAUCAACCUGCCCUUCAGAGGGGGACAACAGUUGGAAACGACUGCUAAUACCGCAUACGAUCUAAUCUCGGCAUCGAGGAUAGAUGAAAGGUGGCCUCUACAUGUAAGCUAUCACUGAAGGAGGGGAUUGCGUCUGAUUAGCUAGUUGGAGGGGUAACGGCCCACCAAGGCGAUGAUCAGUAGCCGGUCUGAGAAGAUGAACGGCCACAUUGGGACUGGGACACGGCCCAGACUCCUACGGGAGGCAGCAGUGGGGAAUCUUCCGCAAUGGACGAAAGUCUGACGGAGCAACGCCGCGUGAGCGAUGACGGCCUUCGGGUUGGAAAGCUCUGUUAAUCGGGACGAAAGGCCUUCUUGCGAAUAGUGAGAAGGAUUGACGGUACCGGAAUAGAAAGCCACGGCUAACUACGUG